GAAAUGCGAUAAGUAAUGUGAAUUGCAGAAUUCAGUGAAUCAUCGAAUCUUUGAACGCACAUUGCGCCCCUUGGUAUUCCGAGGGGCAUGCCUGUUCGAGCGUCAUUAUAACCAAUCCAGCCUGGCUGGGUCUUGGGCUUCGCCAACCGGCGGGCCUUAAAAUCAGUGGCGGUGCUGCCAGGCUCUAAGCGUAGUAAAUACCUCGCUAUAGGGUCCUGGUGGAGGCUUGCCAACAACCCCCAACUUCUUAGGUUGACCUCGGAUCAGGUAGGGAUACCCGCUGAACUUAA
This 290-nucleotide unclassified non-coding RNA is filed under the name uncultured Hyaloscyphaceae. Its description in RNAcentral is "sequence contains ITS1". The stretch from base 1 to 105 matches the Rfam family "5.8S ribosomal RNA", at positions 50 to 154 of the family's 154-position model. The record is from RNAcentral. Lineage: Eukaryota; Fungi; Ascomycota; Leotiomycetes; Helotiales.